RNAcentral lists this long non-coding RNA (616 nucleotides) under Homo sapiens (human). RNAcentral describes it as "non-protein coding lnc-WDR11-1:5". The record is from RNAcentral. Lineage: Eukaryota; Metazoa; Chordata; Mammalia; Primates; Hominidae.
CACAGGCCAUCCCCUCUGCACUCUGAUAUCUCAGAGACAGAGCACUACGGAAGGGAGCCCCAUUCCCAAGCAUGGUGUCCAAUACACUGAAAGAAUAACUGGGCUCAGUAAUGCACCUAGAGACUCAGAUUCCAGACCUGCCCACUUGCUUUACUAUCCAAAACAACCAUGACACAUGACUUCUCUGGCGGGGUGUUGGCCAAGACAAACUGAACUAUAGAAGAUCCUUGACUUGCCAACGUUCAAAUGAUGAACUUUCAAAAAUAGCGAAACUGGCUGCAGAGCAAAAGCUUUUCAGCUCUGCACAACACCAACAGAUGGCGCUAAGUGUCACCCUUGUGGAGAGCAGAGGGACCUCGGAAGGGCCUUUGGAAAUCUAAUCUGGUUUUGAGUUCUUGGUGGGAAAAUGCACCUUUAAGUUGGGGGAGUUUGAAGACGUUGCCAAGACACGUGCUGCAGCAUUUGAUCUUUUCUGCCGCACUGGCUUCUGCAAUUAACAUGCUUUCACCAGUGAAACUCAGGUUGCGGGGAGAGCAUUCUUCCAGGUUCAUGCCUGUUGUCAUGGAGUAAUUAUAAUUCAUGUCUCCGUUCACAGUGUCCUGGUUUGUAGAAUAAA